RNAcentral lists this signal recognition particle RNA (275 nucleotides) under Aureobasidium pullulans EXF-150. RNAcentral's name for it is "Fungal signal recognition particle RNA". It matches the Rfam family "Fungal signal recognition particle RNA". The record is from Rfam by way of RNAcentral. Lineage: Eukaryota; Fungi; Ascomycota; Dothideomycetes; Dothideales; Saccotheciaceae.
AGCUGUAAUGGCUCAACGGAAGAAAUGUCCCCAAUCUUUCCGCCCACCCCUGCUGUUGGCAACAACCCAACCAUCGGUGCCCGGUUCGAAUCCCGUGGUGGCCACCCACUCGUGUAGGUAACUCAUGAUUGCUGCGCGUGGCCUUGAGACUGCUUGGAUACCGCUUCAGCCGAGCAAUCGGGCAGAGCGACCGAGCCCAUGGGAUGGCGAGUCCGGACUACAUUGAUGUUGUUGGUGGGGUGUUUGGGAGGAGUUAUGAGGAUGUGACUUUCUUU